RNAcentral lists this long non-coding RNA (1428 nucleotides) under Anser cygnoides (Swan goose). RNAcentral describes it as "lncRNA (ENSACDG00005010169.1)". The record is from RNAcentral. Lineage: Eukaryota; Metazoa; Chordata; Aves; Anseriformes; Anatidae.
GAUUUCAAAGACAAAAAGGAGAAGAAGGGGAAAAAAAUAAAAAAUAAAAUAAUACAAAAAUUUCUUCCCCGCCACUGGCGCCGCGGAUGCGAACCGGGAGCUGCUCAGCUGCCUUGGGACCGGUGCUGGGCCCCAAAGCGGCCCCAAAACUUUGUGGGAAGGGGCUGGGACGUAGCCCCCAUCCCAGCUGGGGCAGUGCUGGUCCCGCUGUGAUGCUGUGGGGCAUGGAUGGAGCCACGCUGGGCUCUAAGGGAGAGUUUUGGAGGCCUCACCGCCUCUUAAAUCCGGCCUCAUCUUCUCCUCUUGACUCGCUGUGGCUCAGCAGGAGGGUUAUGGACAUGGAUGGCUGUGAAAUUCUCCGCUGCCCAUCUCCCAGGCCACAGGGUUUGGAUGGCUUCGGUGCCAUGGGACACGCCAGGAGAGGGUAAACAGUGUGGCUUGUCGAAAACGCUCACCUCUCCUGAUUAAUUUACCCCUAAUGACAAAGAUGGCUCUGCAAUCAGCGCGGGCAUGCGGGGAGUGAAAUCCGCCUGGUUCUCCCUGUUAGCAGGGCUGACUGGGGAGAGGGGCCGGCACCGAGCGGAGGGGAGGGCGCUGCGCAGGGCCCUGAUCGAUUCUAUUUACCCAUCCGGAGCGAGAUUGGAUUUAUUGUCAGUGGGAAGAAGACAAACUGAUCACUUCUGCUCGGCGCCGUAUUGGCACUUCCAAGAUCUGCUGAAGGAGGGGAAACUUGGAGGAGUUCGGCUUAGGUUUUAACCCUCUUCUGAACCACCCCUCCUCUGUCCUUCGUGCACAGGGUCCUGGUUUCCCCCAAGCUCACCCACAGAAGCCCCCGCUCACUUUGGGCUGUGCUGGGGGGCUGCAGGCGGUGACUCGAUGUGGCCAUGAGAGGCCGGAGGAUUCCCAGCGGUGUGAACCAGCCGGGUGUCCAGCGGCCACAGCACCCUCGUGGUGCCAUCAGGCUGCUCCGGGGGACACUGGGGAGCCACUGGAGACGUUGGGAAGUGGGAAUGGGGGAAAAAGCUCUUCUAUUCUCACUGCAGGAGAAAAACCAUCCAGUGGUGUUCAGGCAGGCCGAGAGGCAGGAUGGUCUGCCCGAGACAAGGCGGAAUAAGGACAGACAAGGCUGUCGAACUUCUCCUUCGCCAGUUCCUUUUGCCUCUGUCAGGUUUUGAAGACAUAAACCAAACCAUCCCCUCCAUUUAAAUCAUGUACCUAAUCCCCUAACUCUCUUAAUUAAGCAGAGGGAAGUUUAAAUUGUUCUGACCAUCUUUGGGGGGAUUAUAUAUUUCAAUCAUCAUUAUAGUGUGGCUAUUUGUGAUACCACGAGAUAGAUAGGUAUAUCCGUUGUAUAAUCAGGCAUACAAAUUAUAAUCCCCCCAAAGACGUUUAAAUAACAAUUUAAAAUGCCGACUGCUGGACGUAGGG